AAUGAACGCUGGCGGCGUGCUUAACACAUGCAAGUCGAGCGAGGCCUGGGGGGGCAACUCCCAGAGUCGAGCGGCGGACGGGUGAGUAACACGUGGGUAACCUGCCCGGAAGUGGGGAAUACCUCGGGGAAACUCGAGCUAAUACCGCAUGACAUCUCCGGGACGAAAGUCCUGGCGAUCAAAGCGGGGUCGCAAGAUCUCGCGCUACCGGAGUGGGCCCGCGCCCGAUUAGCUAGUUGGNGAGGUAACGGCUCACCAAGGCUUCGAUCGGUAACCGGCCUGAGAGGGCGAUCGGUCACACCGGAACUGA
RNAcentral lists this ribosomal RNA (310 nucleotides) under uncultured bacterium. RNAcentral's name for it is "bacterial SSU rRNA". It matches the Rfam family "Bacterial small subunit ribosomal RNA", at positions 29 to 322 of the family's 1533-position model. The record is from RNAcentral.